Molecule: non-coding RNA, 46 nt
Filed under: Schistosoma curassoni
Lineage: Eukaryota; Metazoa; Platyhelminthes; Trematoda; Strigeidida; Schistosomatidae
Source: RNAcentral
GCUCUGUUGAGGAGUCCCAUACUAGGACGAAACGGCCGUCCAGUGC